RNAcentral lists this long non-coding RNA (399 nucleotides) under Homo sapiens (human). RNAcentral describes it as "non-protein coding lnc-WASHC5-8:2". Lineage: Eukaryota; Metazoa; Chordata; Mammalia; Primates; Hominidae. The record is from RNAcentral.
CCAGGUCUCAGCCACAUCCAGGUCCCAGUUGGCUGGCAGAGGACGAGAGCAUGAGGGAGGCACGCCCACUUGGCCUGGCAAUGGCACGGACAGCCUCCACUCACAUUUACAUUUCUCAUCCAAUGAAAAGGCCAGCUGGGAAGUGAGCCCAGGAAGAUGCAGAGAGCAGGUGUAGGUGGACCCCUACCUGUCUCUGCUUCCGAUGGCAGUUGUGAUGUUUGCAGGUGUAACCAAAACCUCCACUUAAAGGGCCAGGCCCGGGGGCUCAUGCCUGUAAUUCCAGCACUUCAGGAGGCCGAGAUCACGCCAUUGCACUCCAGCCUGGGCAACAAGAGCAAAACUCACUGCAGCCUCUGCCUCCCGGGUUCAAGCCAUUCCGUCUCUAGUAGCUGGGAUUAC